UUCCAGCACCAUUUGUUGAAAAGACUAUUCUUUCCCCAUUGAAUGGUCUUGGCACCCUUGUCAAAAGUCAUUUGACCACAUACAUGAGAGUCUAUUCCUGGGCCUCCUGGUCCAUUCCACUGAGCUACA
Long non-coding RNA from Phyllostomus discolor (pale spear-nosed bat), 129 nucleotides. RefSeq lists it as uncharacterized. NCBI's taxonomy places the organism in Eukaryota, Metazoa, Chordata, Mammalia, Chiroptera, Phyllostomidae. The transcript has 4 exons. The record is from RefSeq and is a predicted model, not a curated record.